GCGGGCAUGAGUGGACUGCGGCUUACAUUAGGCCGAGUGAACGAGAAAUCGUUUGCUAGUGGAAUUUACAAGGUUUCUUUUUCCGAAAGAGAGGGGUAAACGACGGAACAAAGAAUCAGUGCACCUGUAAUUCUGCGACACCAUCAAAUUGCGGGAAAACCCUGCGAAGAUGUUACAACCAAAUGCGCGGUGAAAGCCGGAAAAAUCAAGAGUAUUGACCCCUUCAUUUAAGGGCGAACUGCUUGCGCAUGGCCGGGGUAAUGACCUAGGGUAUGGUAAAAUCGUAACAUCUUGGGCAAUCCGCAGCCAAGUCCCUUAACUCAUACAUUACAUGAGCGGGAUGCAGUUCACAGACUAAAUGGUGGUGGGCAUUAGGCAUACAUCUAAUGCUUAAGAUAUAGUCGGGCCUUCUCCGAAAGGAGACCUGAGGAAGAGAUGGAAUGCACGCAUCAGAGCCUCGGGGACAUUGUGUUUCUAGUAACGAGAGUUACUCCGGAAAAACGAUGUUUGGAUCAACCGUAAUUUGACUCAACACGGGAAAACUCACAAGGAUAUGAUACAUAUAUGAAGGACGGAUUGAAGAUCUUUCCUGAUUAUGUUAGUGGUGGUGCAAGGCCGUUCGUAGUUCGUGGAGCGAUCUGUCUGGUUUAUUCCGUUAACGAGCGAGAUCCCGAAAGCCAGUUGUAGCACCGAGAUUUCCACUGUUAUCAGGUCCCAGCUAUACGGAGCCAUUUGGUUCCUCAAGUUGCGGUUCUCGGCCUGGAAAGAAUAAAAUUAUUCUUGUGUAGGAACUUUCAUGAUCAUACAUGAAAAUGUCUUGAAAUUGGGGUAAUAACAGGUCAGUAAUGCCCUUAGAUGUCCUUGGCCGCACGCGCGUUACAAUGACAUGUACAGAAAGGUUACCAUACUUUAUAAGUACGGUUAUUCCUGCCUGAAAGGUGAGGUAAUCACUACGUCAUGUCUUGGUUGGGCUUGCAUUCUUGGAACUAUGGGACAUAAAAUCGGAAUUUUAGUAUUUGCCAGUCAUAAUUGGCAAAAGAAUGAGUCCCUGCUUUUGGUACACUCCGGCCGUCCCUCCCUACGAUAAGAAA
This 1091-nucleotide ribosomal RNA is filed under the name Corallosporopsis gracilis. RNAcentral describes it as "Stemonitopsis gracilis partial small subunit ribosomal RNA". The stretch from base 494 to 1057 matches the Rfam family "Eukaryotic small subunit ribosomal RNA", at positions 1157 to 1662 of the family's 1831-position model. Lineage: Eukaryota; Evosea; Eumycetozoa; Stemonitida; Stemonitidae. The record is from RNAcentral.